RNAcentral lists this long non-coding RNA (6321 nucleotides) under Citrus x clementina. Its description in RNAcentral is "Citrus clementina (C. clementina) long non-coding RNA (CCLE_LNC001541)". Lineage: Eukaryota; Viridiplantae; Streptophyta; Magnoliopsida; Sapindales; Rutaceae. The record is from RNAcentral.
UUAUUUCAUUUUUAUUGGGAUUGAGAGUGGACCAGGCGUAUUCGCAGUCUCACUUUUUGAUAAAUCCGCUCCAUUUCUGUCUGUUUCCUCUUUUUCGUUUAUUUUUUUUGGGUUUUUUGCAUUAUGGUAAUUAAUCUAUUAUUUAAUUUGAUUUAAUUUCUUGAAUACAAAUAAAAUUUUACUUUUACCAAAUCGACAGUAAUACUAUACUUUCCAAAAAAUUUCACACCAUCUAACAUUUACCACUUAAUUAAUACUGUCAAGAAAACAUAUUAUUUUUUGUUAUUGCAAUUUGAUGGGCAUCAAAAUUUUAUUUUUCUUGAGAAAAUAAUCACGAAUAACUUACCUCCUUAGGAAUACAAACUCGGCUAGUUAAUUAUAAAAAAGUUGUUGAAAACAAUAACCGUGAAUGUUCAGCAAUAAUAAUAGAAUUAUAAACAAUUGUACAUGUAAUUUGAAUUAGCAACUUACGUGGCACGAAAAGAUUGAUUAAUUAAAAAGUAAAAAGUUACUAAUUAAAAUAUAAUGUGAGUCUCACGAUAACUUCAUUUAAUUAAUUGAUUUCAAUUUAGAGUAGAUUAAAAGUUAGAAUUUUAUUCAAUUUGUAUCUUAAAAGUUACAGUAUCUCAAUUCCCAAACGCAUCCGUAAUUAUAAUAUUUUUGAAAGAGUAUACAGAUUUAAAAAUUUAAGUAUUUCGAUUGAACGCUUCAGUAGUGGAGAAGAAAAUUAUGAUGAGAAAUGUGUCAAUAAUUGCGGAGCACGUGUGGAACCCAGGAGUGUGUACGUGUGUGCCAAAAUUAAAAAAGAAAAUUAAAAUAAAUGAUGAUUGAAGUUGAAGAUGCACGAUAACGGACCUAGAGGGAAGCAAGCAAGCGUGCGUGCGAGCGUGGGGCUUUUGCUUCCUGAAUCAGAAGCAAGGAUGAUUAUGUGAGAAUAAAGAGACAUCAUUGCAAUUAGCGCACCGAAAGCAUCUCCUAGAUUCAAGGUUCAUUUUACAUUUCUUUUGCCUACUUUUGCUAUUCUUCUACUAAGGCUGUUAGUUACUACUUUACUUAUUCUCAUCAUCUUGCACUUAAUUUCAUCAAUAAUACCCAUCUACAUUUCCUUUUUCUUUACGCCAAAUUGAUUUGCUUAAUGAGCUUAAUUUACUAUUGAAACAUAAAAAGGGUAAGAAAGAAAGAAAGUGGUUUAUUACACGAGCGUAUUCGAAUAAUAAACAAGGGUAAGUGGUAAUGGUGAGGGAGUGUGUUUGAAUCUAUUAAGUAACAAUAAAAAUUCUUACUCGAUUAUUUCCUUCUCAUAAUUAGGUAGAAGUUGAUAAUCUUUCUACAAAUGUAAGUGAGAUAUGUAGAUAUACAUGUCCUUUUGAAUAUUAGUGAGGGUUGAUAUAUUUCUAAUAUAACAAAUAGAAAUAUGGAUUGUGUUACUAUAUAAAUGACCUUGGCUCUAUUUAAUUGAAUCCUUAUUUUAUAUAUACCAACAAUCUUCUGAUUGUAAGCAUAUCAAUAAUAUUAAAAAAAAUUCUAUAACUAAUAAAUAAUAUUAAGUAAUUAAGACAAAAAAUUCAUAAAAAUAUUUUCUUUUUAUGACUUUUCGAUAUCAUUUUCAAUCAAAUCUAACAUAUAGAAAAUAGAAAAACAAAAACAUGUUAUUAUUAUUUAAAAAAAAAAGAAUUUACUUAUAAACUUUCAAAAGUGUAUAACGCAUUAAUCCAAUUAUACGACUUAGCUUAAACUUAGGUUUCACUCUUAAUACAUACAUGUUGCUUCCUAUUAAUGAAAAUGAUGGCAUCAAUUCAAAAGCCCAUAUCUAUUUGCAAUCAUUUUUUUUUCACAUUAUUAUCUUCUAUUUAUUCUUUCAAUUUUUGAUUUUUCACAAAUUGUCAUAUCAUGUCAAAAGAGACAGAAAAAAAAAAAAAGAAGAAGGAAUGAAAUAGCUAAAAAGAGUCAAAGAAUAUCUAACCAUCAAAUUGAGUACGUAGAUUUGGCAUGAUAAAGACACGAGUGUAUUUUAAGUUUACGGCGUACGUGCGUGUGUGCUUUGAUUGUGUAAUUGUUUAUUUACAAUCAUUUGUAAGUCAAUUUCCAUACCUAACACUAAAGUCCAAUUUGGUGGUUGUGUUCUAUACGGCUGUUUAAUUACUAUUUUCAAAGUCAAAUUUGGAAAUUUUUUCUAACUUCACAACUAAGUUUCCUUAGAAUUAGAAGACUCGGAAAUACGCAUAUAAGAUUUAUUUCAAUUUAGUGGGUUUCAAGGUUAACGAUUCGGCUUUCAAGAUUAACACAAAAUAGCACUCACCAAGAUUGAUGUGUAAUGCUUCAAAUCUGUUAUAAAUGAAUAUAUAUAUAUAUAUAUACAUAUAUAUAUAUUUAAUGGUUCAAGAGAUCAUCAUAAAAGAAAAUCUUUCACGUUAGUUGGGAAGUCACUGUUGCUCUCUCCUUAUAAAUAUUAAAAAAAUAAAACAAAAAUGGAAAUACAAUAUUAAUGCAACUUGAUGUUCAAUGAACUUUUUGCAGUCAGUCAACAAAUUUGAAAAUGAAUUAAGCUUAGAUGCGGAGUAGUUCUCAAAAUCAAAUUGAAUAGUAUUACCAUAGCAUAGAAGGAUCAAAUUGUUGACUUCUCUUCCUUAUCAUCUUGCCCAACAUGACCAAAACAUUUUAAAAUGACCGAGAAAAUUAGGGUUGCAAAUCUAGUAAGUUUGACUAUAUAAGAUUAUAUUGAAUGUGUUUAUCAUGAAAUGCAUUAUCACAUCUCUUUGAUAUUAUAUUAUCAUACAAUUUAUACCGCCAUACCAAUAAUCUGAUAUGUUUAAUUCGAUGAACACGUGAAAGUUUGAAAGCCAUAUAUCAUUUUAAUACUAUAUAAAUUAAACCGCCAUUGGACACCAGAUACAAUAUAGUAUUAAAGAUAAGUCAUAAAAUUUAGGUAAUGGAAAGUUGGUAUUCUAAAAAAGUAUAACUUUUAGGACAUCUUUGCUUCCACGGCCACUUGUUUGAAAGCAUUAAUUGUGAACAUGAUGAAAAUGUAGCUUACAAGACACUAGCUAAAAUUAAAGGGAAAAAAAAAACGUGAGAUGAUUAACUACAAGCAUUAUACCACCCACAUGGUAGAUGCUUUUCAAAUGAAUGUUGUUCAAUCAACCAUCGAUUGCUUGUAUUAAAUGGAGAUGGUUGUAGAAAACAGAAAUGAAAAUUGGACAAUCAAGCACUAUAUUUUGUACGUAUUUUGGUAUAUGGGAGAGACUAUUAUUACAUGACUAAAGUUCGUAAUCAAUUUUUUUUUAAAGAUAAAAUUAAUCAUGUAUUGGGUAAUUAGUUUGAAAGAGAUCAAAUAUAUGUGUUUUGAAGUUUUUUUAAAAUUCUAUUAUUAAGAUUUCAGCUCAAGUAGAUAGUAAAAUAAAAUUACUUAAAAACCACUGAUAGAAUCUUCGGUCCACUUUAAUGUUGAUUUGAUAAUAAAUAUUUUUCCUAAGCUCAAAUUUAUUAGAACAUAACGUAUAUAUAUGUUUUUAAUACACAAGAUAUAUAGAUGUAAAAUAUAAAAAUUCAUUUAAUAUGCAUUAUUAGCCAAAAAAAAUUGGGUGGUGUCAAAGCUUUUAUCUUACAAAACAGGUUGUAUUGUGUAUUUAUUUUCUUCGGGAACCUCUUUCAUUUAGAGCAAGUGGGUUUAUGUAAGUGGGCUUGUUCUUUUAAAUGGGGUCAAUGUAAGUGGGCUCAACAUCGAAAAAUUAUCUGAUGUGAUCAAGUCUAACUUCACUCAAGUGGACCUGAGGGUCUAGCCCUUUAACUUAAGAAUGAUAAUAGCAGAUGGUCGCACGAGUCAACGGUCAGGCCAGCAAAGGCGAAGCUGUAAAGGCUAACAGCUUUACCUCCAUUGUACCGCACCGUACCAAUCCGGAAUUCCGGAUAAUCAUUUAUGAUGCCCGCACCCCCUCGAUUUUCCUUUAAACCAUAUAUUUUAAAAUAUAUUUCAAAUCGCAUAUGUAGAUUUUUUUUUUAAUAUUGAUAUAUUACAAUUAAAACUCUACUGAUAUUUAUAAAUAAUCCGAACAAAAACAUUCACUUAAUACUGGAAGAAAAUUUAUUCUACCCCGAAACAGGGGGCUAAAUAAAUCUUUAUCAAAAUGAGAGGUUGAGUCCAACCAUUAGUAGAACUCGAACUCAUGCGCCCAAGCCCAUUGGCCGCAUAAGUAGGGUUAAUUACAAAAAAAAUUGUCGACUUCGACUUGUUUAGUCAUAAUUUGAAUAACAUCACUUGAUAAAUUAUUACUUAUAACACAUUAUAUGUUGAUUAAUUUUUGUGGAGAUCUUACAAACUUAAUUGAAGCUCUGCGUCUAACUUAUUUGGUUUUAUUUUCUAAGCAUAAUAACCGAAUUGGUUUGUUUCAUCAUAAAUGACUUCACACUCCAAAAUCUAAUAAGGAACAUAAAAAUAUUUAUGGGUCUGGCUUGAUUUACCCCACAUUCCUUCUUAUUGGUAAAAUGAUAUUCAAAUUAGAAAGAACCAAAAUAUAUAUAUAUAUAUCAGAGUGCUGCGCUAAACAACACAAAACGUGAAAAACACCAAACAGAAUAAAAGAUAAUAAUAAUAAAAAAAUCAUCUUAAAAAAAAAACAUAAAAAAUGAAGCCACAUAAUCAUGUUCACUUGACCUUCAAGGGUCCAACUCGUUUGAAGGUAAGUCGUCUCUACCAUCAACUAAAUGGUUCAUUUUUUUUUUCAAUAGUUAAUUUACAAAAUUACUUGUAUGUUAUUACUUAUUAAUCUAGUCUUAAAGAUCUCUUCAAUAAUGAAUAAACCUUAUUAGGUGGGAUGUUAAUGCGUAAUUUUAUAGUUGCUAUAUAGUAAUAAUUAGGCAGUUAAUACUCAACUUAAAUACAACAAUUAUUAUUUGGAAGCAAUAAUUGUAGCUUAAUGAGUGUUUAUGAUCAAUUCUGAUCACCUCAAUGUUGGUUGUCAUAAUUCUAUAUAGAUAAUAUAAUAAUGUGGCAAUUAAUGUAUCAAUACCAAAAUAAGUUUUAGGUUUUAUGUAGGAAAUCUAAUUUGUAAGUUUUUUAUUUUAUUUUUAAGGUUAUAAUUUAUAAAUAUAUGUGUGUACACAUAUAUACAUACAUAUAUACAUACACACGUAUUCAUGUGUAUGUACAUAUACAUACAUAUACACAUUUCUAUUUUAUCUUGUAGUAUAUAGAAAUGUGUACAUUUCUAUCUUUUACCUUAUCUCUUGCCAUAUUAAAGUAAAUAAUAUCUUUUAUCGUAUGAUAAUAUAAAAUCAUUUUCUCACUUACUAGAUAAAGACUUUUUAUAUAAUACAUAUAUAUUACAAUUAGUAAUGUGUGUGUGUAAUUAUUUUUUAAUGCGGAUGUCUAUACGUCUGCACUUCAUAAAAUACAGAUUCGAUAUUUUAUAGUAUUAGAAAACUUUUGUUACUAUGUUGGAACACAAUGAAUCUGCAUUUUAUAAAUUGUAAACCUAAUUACAUGAAUGAGAAUGAUUAUAUAUAUUUGGAGGCAAAUUGUCCUUUUUUUUCCUAUAAUUAUGGUCAAUUACUAAACUAGUAUAUGCACUUUUAAAAUUUAUCUAAAACACUCGUGUUGUUAUUUUGUAACCAUUAGAUAUGACAUUCUAAGGGUAAAGUAAUGUUUUUGGCCUUCAAAAUUUAAAAUUCAAAGAAAUCUAAAAUGAAAAUAAGUGAAAAAUUAAUGAGAAUGAAAUAGAUUUUACCAAAAACAAUUAUAUGAUGCAAAUCUUUUGAGUAAUUUUAAAAUUGGAGAAUAUAUGUUUCAUCCUUGACUUGAUAGAUGUCAUUUUUACCAUAUACAUCCCUAUGAAGAUUUCUAAUUAUCUGUUUCAUCCCUCUCGUUAAUAAAUAAUAAAUAAAAUUAACAUUCUUUUUUUUUUGUUCUCUUACUAUUCUACCUUUCCUUAUAGGAUUUUAUGUCAUCUCUAAACAGGUCAGCACUAAAAUUAAAGGGAAGGUGAAAAUGGUUAACCCUUGUAUUUUGCAUUUGUUUUAUAGUCUCAAUGAUUAAUGUCAGAUUUCAAUUUAAAUUUUAAAGUAUCACACUUCGAAUAACUAUUUUACCCUUAUUUGCACAAUUAGUUCUGUUUAGGGAUGUCAAAUAAAUAUGGAUUUGGCCUGAAUCUGCAAAGAACUGGAAGAUUCAAAUCCGGAAAAAUCUGGAUUCGCAUAUUAAAAAAUGCGGAUCCGGAUGUGGAAGAUGGUGAUCCGCACGGAUUCCCAUCCAAAUCUGGAUCAUGUUGAAUUAUUAAUUGUUGGAUUAUGAUUGAAUUUUAUUUGAUAUUCUUAUGUAAAUUAUUG